CCCAGACCCAGCAAAGUGUGUUUGAAAGGCAAAUUCCAGGCUCCUUUGGAAGAAUGACAAUGCUACAGAAAAGCACAUGGAUUUGCAGCUUCGUGGACAUCACCUGUGAGGGUGACAGCUCUUUACUCUCAAUGGAGGAAAGUGAAGCCAGGCUUACUGAGGAAAAAAAACAACCCUCAGAAAUCAAAAUCAGACAGCUAUACCCGGUCUGGCUGCCCCAGAGCGGGAAGACCUGAACCUUGGCAGGGCUGGCUGCUGUGCUGACCAGUCUGAUAUCAAGAAGAGAAGUGAUUUUCCGAUCCUGCAUCCGGUACAGCUGUGCGGACUCUGCUCUUCCUGCCAUUCCACCAAG
Molecule: long non-coding RNA, 352 nt
Filed under: Homo sapiens (human)
Lineage: Eukaryota; Metazoa; Chordata; Mammalia; Primates; Hominidae
Description: non-protein coding lnc-COPS8-17:1
Source: RNAcentral